ACCCAUGCAUGUUUAUUGAAUAUAAAGAAAAGACGAACAGCUCAGUAACUCUUAUUUGAUUUGAUGUAUUAGGACUCUAACUAUGUUAAAUUAUAGGUAACAAUAAUACAAUAAGAAUAAGAUCUAUCAGUUAGUUGUUAAGGUAAUGGCUUAACAAGACUAUGACGGAUAACGGUAUUACUUUGUAAUAUUCCGGAGAAGGAGCCUGAGAGAUUGCUACUAAGUCUAAGGAUUGCAGCAGGGGCGAAACUUGACCUAUGAUAUUAUAUUGAGGCAGUUAUGAGUAGUAUUUUAUAAUUAUUGUAGUAUUGUAAGUACAUAUUACAAGAUAAAUCGGAGGGCAAAUCGAGUGCCAGCAGCCGCGGUAAUACUUGUUCCGAUAGUGUGUAUGAUGAUUGAUGCAGUUAAAAAGUCUGUAGUUUAUUUAUAAUAAGCAUUGUAAGGUAUACUGUAUGGUUAGGAGAGAGAUGAAAUGUGAUAACCCUAACUGGAUGAACAGAAGCGAAAGCUGUAUACUUAAAUGUAUUAUUAGAACAAGGACGUAAGCUAGAGGAUCGAAGAUGAUUAGAUACCAUUGUAGUUCUAGCAGUAAACUAUGUUGAAUCAUAGAUAUAUUUUGAUAUAUAUUUAUGUAGAGAAAUUAAGAUUAUAUUGACUCUGGGGAUAGUAUGAUCGCAAGAUUGAAAAUUAAAGAAAUUGACGGAAGAAUACCACAAGGAGUGGAUUGUGCGGCUUAAUUUGACUCAACGCGGGGUAAUUUACCAGGUAUAACAUGAUAUAAUAUUUUAUCAUGAUAGUGGUGCAUGGCCGUUUCCAAUGGAUGCUGUGAAGUAAUGAUUAAUUUCAACAAGAUGUGAGACCCUCAUAUAGACAGAUGUAGUGAUACAUAUGAAGGAGAGGAUUAAAACAGGUCCGUUAUGCCCUAAGAUAAUCUGGGUUGCACGCGCAAUACAAUAAUAUUUGAUAUUAUAAGGGAUAAUAUAAUGUAAGAUAUAUUUGAACAUGGAAUUGCUAGUAAAUUUUAUUUAAUAAGUAGAAUUGAAUGAGUCCCUGUUCUUUGUACACACCGCCCGUCGCUAUCUAAGAUGGUAUUAUCUAUGAACAAAUU
RNAcentral lists this ribosomal RNA (1108 nucleotides) under Nosema rachiplusiae. RNAcentral describes it as "SSU rRNA". It matches the Rfam family "Microsporidia small subunit ribosomal RNA". Lineage: Eukaryota; Fungi; Microsporidia; Nosematidae. The record is from RNAcentral.